GACGAACGCUGGCGGCGUGCUUAACACAUGCAAGUCGAACGGAAAGGCCCUUCGGGGUACUCGAGUGGCGAACGGGUGAGUAACACGUGGGUGAUCUGCCCUGCACUUUGGGAUAAGCCUGGGAAACUGGGUCUAAUACCGAAUAGGACCACGCGCUUCAUGGUGUGUGGUGGAAAGCUUUUGCGGUGUGGGAUGGGCCCGCGGCCUAUCAGCUUGUUGGUGGGGUAAUGGCCUACCAAGGCGACGACGGGUAGCCGGCCUGAGAGGGUGACCGGCCACAAUGGGACUGAGAUACGGCCCAGACUCCUACGGGAGGCAGCAGUGGGGAAUAUUGCACAAUGGGCGCAAGCCUGAUGCAGCGACGCCGCGUGAGGGAUGACGGCCUUCGGGUUGUAAACCUCUUUCAAUAGGGACGAAGCGCAAGUGACGGUACCUAUAGAAGAAGCACCGGCCAACUACGUG
This 462-nucleotide ribosomal RNA is filed under the name uncultured bacterium. RNAcentral's name for it is "partial 16S ribosomal RNA". It matches the Rfam family "Bacterial small subunit ribosomal RNA", at positions 28 to 507 of the family's 1533-position model. The record is from RNAcentral.